RNAcentral lists this ribosomal RNA (301 nucleotides) under uncultured bacterium. RNAcentral describes it as "partial 16S ribosomal RNA". It matches the Rfam family "Bacterial small subunit ribosomal RNA", at positions 509 to 807 of the family's 1533-position model. The record is from RNAcentral.
CAGCAGCCGCGGGAAUACGAAGGGUGCAAGCGUUAAUCGGAAUUACUGGGCGUAAAGGGUGCGUAGGCGGUUGUUUGAGUCUGUUGUGAAAUCCCCGGGCUCAACCUGGGAAUGGCAAUGGAAACUGGACGGCUAGAGUGUGUCAGAGGAUGGUGGAAUUCCCGGUGUAGCGGUGAAACGCGUAGAGAUCUGGAGGAAUACCGGUGGCGAAGGCGGCCCCCUGGACAAAGACUGACGCUCAGGUGCGAAAGCGUGGGGAGCAAACAGGAUUAGAUACCCCUGUAGUCCCUGUCUCUUAUAC